RNAcentral lists this ribosomal RNA (490 nucleotides) under uncultured bacterium. RNAcentral describes it as "partial 16S ribosomal RNA". It matches the Rfam family "Bacterial small subunit ribosomal RNA", at positions 30 to 507 of the family's 1533-position model. The record is from RNAcentral.
AUUGAACGCUGGCGGCAGGCCUAACACAUGCAAGUCGAAUGGCAACAGGAAACAGCUUGCUGUUUCGCUGACGAGUGGCGGACGGGUGAGUAAUGUCUGGGAAACUGCCUGAUGGAGGGGGAUAACUACUGGAAACGGUAGCUAAUACCGCAUAACGUCGCAAGACCAAAGAGGGGGACCUUCGGGCCUCUUGCCAUCAGAUGUGCCCAGAUGGGAUUAGCUAGUAGGUGGGGUAACGGCUCACCUAGGCGACGAUCCCUAGCUGGUCUGAGAGGAUGACCAGCCACACUGGAACUGAGACACGGUCCAGACUCCUACGGGAGGCAGCAGUGGGGAAUAUUGCACAAUGGGCGCAAGCCUGAUGCAGCCAUGCCGCGUGUAUGAAGAAGGCCUUCGGGUUGUAAAGUACUUUCAGCGGGGAGGAAGGGAGUAAAGUUAAUACCUUUGCUCAUUGACGUUACCCGCAGAAGAAGCACCGGCUAACUCCGUG